UGUGACCUCAAAUCAGGUAGGACUACCCGCUGAACUUAAGCAUAUCAAUAAGCGGAGGAAAAGAAACUAACAAGGAUUCCCCUAGUAACUGCGAGUGAAGCGGGAAAAGCUCAAAUUUAAAAUCUGGCAGUCUUUUUGGCUGUCCGAGUUGUAAUCUAGAGAAGUGUUAUCCGCGCUGGACC
RNAcentral lists this ribosomal RNA (182 nucleotides) under Cortinarius fuscoumbrinus. RNAcentral's name for it is "partial 28S ribosomal RNA". It matches the Rfam family "Eukaryotic large subunit ribosomal RNA", at positions 1 to 176 of the family's 3401-position model. Lineage: Eukaryota; Fungi; Basidiomycota; Agaricomycetes; Agaricales; Cortinariaceae. The record is from RNAcentral.